RNAcentral lists this ribosomal RNA (94 nucleotides) under Sander lucioperca (pikeperch). The record is from RNAcentral. Lineage: Eukaryota; Metazoa; Chordata; Actinopteri; Perciformes; Percidae.
CGCCCGAUCUCGUCUGAUCUCGGAAGCUAAGCAGGGUAGGGCCGGGUCAGUACUUGGAUGGGAGACUGCCUGGGAAUACCCGGUGCUGUAAGCU